Molecule: ribosomal RNA, 465 nt
Filed under: uncultured bacterium
Lineage: Bacteria
Description: partial 16S ribosomal RNA
Rfam family: Bacterial small subunit ribosomal RNA
Source: RNAcentral
GACGAACGCUGGCGGCGUGCUUAACACAUGCAAGUCGAGCGAGGCCCCUCCUUCGGGAGGGUGUCCUAGCGGCGAACGGGUGAGUAACACGUGGGCAACCUGCCCUCAGCUCUGGGAUAACUCCGGGAAACCGGGGCUAAUACCGGAUACGACCUCCACGGGCAUCUGCGGAGGUGGAAAGUUUUUCGGCUGAGGAUGGGCCCGCGGCCUAUCAGCUAGUUGGUGGGGUAGUGGCCCACCAAGGCGACGACGGGUAGCUGGCCUGAGAGGGCGACCGGCCACACUGGGACUGAGACACGGCCCAGACUCCUACGGGAGGCAGCAGUGGGGAAUAUUGCGCAAUGGGCGAAAGCCUGACGCAGCGACGCCGCGUGAGGGACGAAGGCCUUCGGGUUGUAAACCUCUUUCAGCAGGGACGAAGCGAAAGUGACGGUACCUGCAGAAGAAGCACCGGCCAACUACGUG